UAACAUCCGGAAACGGGUGCUAAUACCGCAUAGUUUCUUGAUCGCAUGAUCGGGAAAGGAAAGACGGCCUUUGUGCUGUCGCUUAUGGAUGGACCCGCGGCGUAUUAGUUAGUUGGUGAGUAACGGCUCACCAAGACGAUGAUACGUAGCCGACCUGAGAGGGUGAUCGGCCACAUUGGGACUGAGACACGGCCCAAACUCCUACGGGAGGCAGCAGUAGGGAAUCUUCCGCAAUGGACGAAAGUCUGACGGAGCAACGCCGCGUGAGUGAAGAAAAGGUUUUUCGGAUCGUAAAACUCUGUUGUCAGAGAAGAACAAGUUGGAGAGUAACUGCUCCAGCCUUGACGGUAUCUGACCAGAAAGCCACGGCUAACUACGUGCCAGCCGCCGC
RNAcentral lists this ribosomal RNA (391 nucleotides) under uncultured bacterium. RNAcentral's name for it is "bacterial SSU rRNA". It matches the Rfam family "Bacterial small subunit ribosomal RNA", at positions 144 to 518 of the family's 1533-position model. The record is from RNAcentral.